This is a non-coding RNA of Potamilus streckersoni, 78 nucleotides long. Lineage: Eukaryota; Metazoa; Mollusca; Bivalvia; Unionida; Unionidae. The record is from the annotation of a GenBank genome assembly.
GCUAUGAUGGCCUAGUGAUUAGAGCGUCCGCUUCAGAUGCCAAAGGUCGCGGGUUCGAACCCAGGCCAAGUCAUGCCA